This is a long non-coding RNA of Equus caballus (horse), 4699 nucleotides long. Lineage: Eukaryota; Metazoa; Chordata; Mammalia; Perissodactyla; Equidae. The record is from Ensembl.
AAGCCAGGCCUCUUCACCUGGCCAGAUGGGCUUUUUGUGGAUGGGUUACUUUGGCCAUUGGCCGCUGCAGGCAUUGGCCGGUUAUCAUCCUCCAAGUGGCCAAGUGUGGUGUUGGCUUCAUUUCCCGACAGGGUCUUGGCUGUGUGAAGAAUUGUGAAGUGCCAGGGAAACCAAUGGUCGUGGCUUCCUGGGACCCGGGAAAGAGUUAGGGCUCCUGCCCCCAUCACCUCUCGGCACUUCCUCCUGGGCACGCGGGCUACUGUGCAGGCACGGUGGCUUCAGGCAUAUGCAACCCCCACUCCCAGGCAUUAGCUGCAAGCACCUCUUUGUUUUCAAAAAGCACAUUCCUAUUUCUCCAGUUUGGACAAAAUACACAGAAGAACCUGAUGUGACCUUCUAGGGCAACGGGCUUCAACCUUCACUGCAUAUUAGAACCGGCCGAGAAGACUGAAAAAUUCCGGAGCUCAGCCCCAUUUAGGCCAAUGAAAAGCGUCUCCAGGCCUCAGUGUCUGGACGGCUCCUCAAGUGAUUCCAGUGCCCACCAAGGUGGAGCCACGCUGACCCAGGCAGCGCCUCUCCCAGUCGCUUGUGCAUAAGAAUUGUCCACGGGAUGCAUUACAACACAGCUUCUGAAGCCCCAGCCCCAGAAUGUGGAGUCAGUGUUUCUAGGGCUGGGCCUGAGAGGAGGCGUUGUUAACGAGCCCCAGGUGAUGCUGCUGCUGCCUGUCCACGGACCACACACUGAGCAGCUCUGUUCCAGAGCUUUGCUACUCAGUGCGCAGUCCGUGGAGCAGGAGCCCGGGCAUCACCCAGGAACUCAUUAGAAAUUAAAAAUCUUGAGCUGUCUCAGACCUGUUACAUCAACAUCCGUGUUUUAAAAAGGGCUCUAGGAAAUCUAGUUGCACAGCAAGGAUCGAAAAGCGUUAACACGUAGGGUGCAGACGUGCAGCCCCUGGGCCAAAGUUAGCUGGCAGAUGUAUACCACCCUGGCUUGCACAGUAUUUUUUAAAAUUUGGAAUUAAUUUACACUUUAAAAUUGGGAUUUCUGACUUCUCUUGAAAAACUGGAAGAUCUAGCAAUACUGGGCGUCCGUUCUCACGUGGUGACAACUGGAGACAGAAUGGACGUGCUCCAAGCUGCUGCAGAAUGACUUCGUUCACUAAGGGUGUCUGCAGGGCCUCUGCUGGCCCUGACAUCUGCAGCUCCUGGUUCAUGCCCUCCCCUCCCCGGUCCCUCCCCAGCCGGAUGACUGCUCCCAAGCAUUUUUUCUUGAGCCCACCUACUUUAUCUCUCUGUACUUCCCUCUAUUCAUCUGUAAAAUGGGUCGAUAGCACCUAUUCAGGCUUCUGAUCUGGAUGAAAUGGAGAUGGAGGUCACGCUUUAAGGUCCAUACCUCUGUUUUACACACGAGUUGAUCCUAUACCCAGAGUUUCCCCAAGCAAGAUCCCUGGACCAGCAGCACUAACAUCAGUGGGGAACUUGUUAGAAAUACAAACUUUCAGGCCCCACUCUAGACCCAAACGCUUGAUGAAUUACCAGGCAUUUCAGGAGAGAGUGGAAUUCUGCGUGGAUUUCACCAGGAUCAAAAUCCCAUCAUGAGCUCCAUAAUUAUGUGGAGAAAGUUCAACCAAGAUCCAUGGGUGACUGAUGUUUUGCAGGUGACAGAGACCAAGGGAAAAGGCUAGUGUGUGUGGGAUGGAGCCUCCACAGCUUACUUCCUCCGGCUGCCCGACACCUCCCAGCUGCGGGCUCACCUCUGCGCCCAUCCUGAGCCAAUGAGCUGGGCUGAGACUUGGUGUCUGGAUAACCCACCCUGAGCCUGGGCGUUCACAGGCUCAUAAGACAGACUGCUGCUACUUUCACCACAUCAGCCCAAUCCACAUAAAGCGUCUUCUGCCUCAGUUUCCCUAGCAGGCAUUUGAGAUCUGAAUGGACAGAUCCACAGCCAAUGCCAUUGCCAUCUGCCUGUGCUGACUUUGGGUACUGCCUGCUGCCUGGGCUCCCCUGAUCUCACCCUCUCCAUUGGAUUGGGCUCCUCAGGUCACGCUAUUUCCUCAGCGGAGCCUGAAACUGCUGCCCCCGUUGAGUCACUGUACAUUUGGGACUGGGCCAGCUCUAGAGUGAGGUCAGUUUCCUUGACCCCUGCCUCUCUCCCUGUCUACACUGGCUGAAUUCCUGUUGUCCAAAGAUGCCUAUGACCAGAGCCUGCCCAAGUAAUAGCAGAGAACUGGGGACAUAUGGCCUUUGGAAGGGAAACUGUGAUGUGACCACACACUAUUCUUAUGGUAAGAGACGUGGCUGCACAGAAAGUUCACACCAAGAUCUUCUUUUUCUCGGUCGGGAGCAGAACAUGCAUAGAAACAGCAGUGAAAGCGAGGCUGGGAGAGAAAAUGGUUUCCUAAAGGUGACGAUAGAUCUGUGUUGGGCUGGAUUGCAGAAGGAUUCCUCAGGAACUGUUGCUCUGGCAGUUUUUAAAGACUGAAUUAAUUACAGGGAGAAAGAUACUGGGAUCCGUGUGAGGAGUCUCUGCCAUAAUGACAACUAGGCAACAAUGGAAUGGUCUCACUCCAGGAUGAAUAAGCUCGUGCUCACUGGAGGCAGUCAAGGAGAGGCUGGAUUGUUCUCAGGCAACAUGCUGUGCAAGACACUCACACAAAAGAUGGGGAGUUCACAGUUCAAGGGCAUUUUCUAUCCCUGAGAAUCUAUAAAUCUGUGUUUCCUGCCAUCUUUCUUUUUUAAUAUUUCAUAUUCAGGUAUUAUUUCCCCUACAGGAACUUAUGUCUUUUAAAACAGAAGAUAAACUUUUCUAGAGUGCUCAAAAAUCGUCACACACACUGCAAAAACUGGCUUUUUGGGAGCUCCACAGAGAAAACAUGCUUGAAGAAGUAGAGUGAGGGAUUUUCUGCAAAAAGUGACUGCAUUUCCCCUAGCCGAGGACGGGAAGAUUUUCACGGUCCCUCUCAGAUACCGUGGGGUUGACAAUGGGCAAUGGAGCCGGUUCACUAGGGGGAAGGGCGCAGCAAGUGUGUGGGGGGGUAUACUGCCCUCCUAGACAGCGUCCACAAUCAGUGCCGCAGAUCUUUGUUGACAUUCCAGGCCUACCCCGAACUGAGGUCUAGCUUCCUGGAGCCCUGCAUCUUCUGAAAGGCUGGCUCCUUUUCCUCUUCCCUCCAGAAGCCAUGGUGACCAGAGGCAUGGCUUAGCAGGAGCUAUGUUUCAGCAAAGGACAUGAGUCAGCAGAAGAUGUAAGUCAGCAGCACCCAUGGAUGAGCAGGAGCAAAGGGUCAGAAAGAACCGUGGAUCUCUAGAAACUAUGAGUCAGCACGAGCCAUGAGUCAGCAGAGGCCACAGGUCAAAAGGAGACAGGUUUCAGUAGGAGCUUUUGUUCAUCAGGAGCCAUGGGUCCGUAGGAACUACUGUCAGCAGGAACCGUACAUCAGCCAGAGACAGUCAGCAGUUGGUGGUGGGGUAGAGGAUAAUAGACACACAGGAAGAGGGCAGCACCAGACUUUGAGGUGGCUGAUGCCAUAAGCAAAAGCUACAGGGUACCAAGAAGCUCAGGAGAGAGCAUUUAGUAACAAUAGGAUCAAUAAAAUGUAGAGAGUCAGUCAGUCACCGUUAUGACGAGGUGGGGAGCAAUGUGUUUCAGAGGGGGGCAGCAUAGCCUACUGUCUGUAGGAGCAUGGAAUCCUGGAUGAGCUGAGCUUAAACAACAUUCUAGUCUCUGUGAGAACUGGCAGCUUGGCAAUUGAGGUUCUUGUCUUUCCUAAUUUCCCAGGUAUCCUUAGCAUAAACCCCUAUUACUAAGUAUGUCUUUAGGUUGGAUGCUAAAAAGGGAAAUUCUUGAGACAAAGUAUAAAGAGUUAUUUUUUUAAGGUUCUUAGUAUAUAUUGCUAAACGACUUUUCAAGGAUUUGUAUAAAUUUGCUUUCUCCCACCUUCUAAUUAAAAUACUUAUAAAAAUGUAUUCUGAAAGGUAUGAAAUUUUAAGGCAGGCUGAAAGCUGUUAGUAUAGUUAUCUAUCAGGAGAAAUUUCGAGUAUAAAAGGUUCAGGUAGAUGCUUGACGUAGAGCGAGAGGGCAAAGGAGACUGAUAUUUGCCAUUGUGACUGUGCCUCUCUACCAUGUGAGUCAGAACUCUGGAGUUUCAAGGGAAAGAAUCCAAUUCAAUUAAGACUGGCUUAAUUCAAUAAAAUAAUUUCUAAGGGCUUGUAGCUUGCACAUCUAGACAGUAGUGGGGUAGAUUUCAGGUGCAGCUGGAUCCAGGAGCUUGAAGAUGUCAGUCACGACAAACACAUCAACUCUUUAUGAUCUGCCCCAGCUCUGAUGGUUGAAAGCCCUGAUUGGCCAGGUCAGGCCCCUGUCAUGUGCCCACUCUUGGAGCCAGAUAGAUGUUGAGGGAAUUCCUGACCCCCAUGCCACUCCAAGCUACAUGACUUGGAAGAGAUGGUUUUUAAAUGGAGAUCAAAUAGGCGAAUCAAAACAGAUGACCACAGGCCCAUCUUACGGACAUGGGGUCUUCAGGACACCCUUCAACUGGGGAGAAGCUGCAUUUGAAAAUGUUCAGAAUGACUUGAACCUUCCCAUCAGUUAUUUCCAUUUCAUGCACCUUCUAGAAUCUAGGCUAUCAUUUUCAAUGUUACAAUGUUACAGGCUGGGGAAGGAGGGGAUGUACUUGCCUGUUACAUCCAAGAUGUGGAG